AACAGCUGGGAAUUCUGUGAUAAGUACUAAGGAAAUAACAAGUGUCUUGAUUUUUUUUUUUUAUCUCUCUCUCUCUCUCAGUAAUCCAAAGAGAUUUGCAGAUUUUAUCCUAAUACAACUCUGGAAAUAUCUCCAUCAGUGUGUUAAGGGCAGGUGUGAUUAGUCUCAUCUUAGAGAUAAAGAAACCAGAGAGGAAAGAAGGGACCAGCCUUUCUCAAGUUGACUCAGCAAGUCAGCAGAUGGAACCUGGAAAGUUCAGAGGCCUUGACCUUGCAGCAAGGUGUCCAGAGUGAACUGUAGCAGAAGAGGCAAAAGAACUCAAGACAACUUUUUUUAAAAAAAAGAAUGAUUUGGCAUCAUCCUCUGGACUCUGUUUCAUGAUCAACUAAGAACAAGCUCAUUUACCAUCUGGUCACGAAUUGUACCUGCAGGUGUUUCCAAACAUAGCAGGAAAUUUUUUCCUUAGAACAUACUUGAAAAGUUCUCAAGUUUUUUUUGUUGUGCCAUUUUUCCCAUUGUCGACUGUUGCCUGAAUCUUUUCUUUACAUUUUUACUUAUUUAUAUAAUAGUGCUGACAAUCACACAGCAGUGCUAUCUUGUGCUAUCUUGUCCCUCAU
Molecule: long non-coding RNA, 617 nt
Filed under: Capra hircus (goat)
Lineage: Eukaryota; Metazoa; Chordata; Mammalia; Artiodactyla; Bovidae
Description: lncRNA (ENSCHIG00000006385.1)
Source: RNAcentral